Molecule: non-coding RNA, 21 nt
Filed under: Caenorhabditis elegans
Lineage: Eukaryota; Metazoa; Nematoda; Chromadorea; Rhabditida; Rhabditidae
Source: RNAcentral
UCAAAAUACUGAGUAGGAAAU